CAUGACAACCAAUAAUAGUAACAGACGUUUUCUUUAUCUGCUUCGUUUACAUAAACGUCUUUUGUCGUUUUACUCUUUAAUUCUGCUUAGUAUUGCGUUGCUGCAGUAAAAAAGGCUAAUGUGUUUGUUAUGUCAUAUCUUUUUAUUCUUUGCUGAAAGCUAUCUCAACGAUUGUAAUCGACCCCUUUUGUGGUUAAUAGUUAAGUAUAUCUUUAUAUUCACUGAUUCUAUAUAUUCCGACAUUUCGUCUCCUUUUUUUCUUACUUAUGCUUAUUCGCAUCUAUUAGAAGAAAAAAAGAGUAAGAAAUUUACGGUUGGGUGAGAUACGCUACAGCACUUCGCUUCAUUAUUUUCGUGAAAAACUACCAACAAUUGUAUCUCCUUUCAAUAUAAAUGCACAUUUUUAAAAACAGCUGUUACAUGAAAUAGAGUCUAAAGUUAAGUUUACCAAAAUUAAUUUUUUUGCCAAAAUGUUAUUAUUGUUCGCCUGUCCUUCACUUAACGUACAAGCAGUAGAGUUUGCUCUAACAAAAACGCUUGACUACGAAUGGGUGUGGUGGGAUGCAUAAAAUGUAUCUACAUGAUCCAAAUUUGGUGCAUUUGAUUUCUGUAUCAAACUGCUUGUAUAUGUACGAUGUAAGUUUUUUGCGCCAUUGUUUUUUGCUAUUACUACCGAAAGUUAUUGAAAAUUUUAUUUAUUUGCAGGAGCAACGAGCGAUAAUAUUUUGUUUGUAAAACGACCGAACUUUAUAGCGAUUGAAAAACGAGCGAACAAUACACAUAAAUAUGCAUACACGUUAAAGCAACAUAUAACUGAGUUAAACUAAAAGCUAUGCUAAAAAUUAGACUUUUUAUUAUAUAAAGGCUUAGAUUUGGUAGGGACACAGUAGGAAUAGAAAAAGGUGAUUGGGUCUAUACGUUAUAAUUGAAUAUAUCUUUUAAAGACUAAGCUUCGAUUUAUAUCGCCCAAAAUCGUAAAACUACUUUGGAAUCAACAAUUCAACACUCGAUUGAAGCUCCAUUUUGUUUGAAGGCAAGAUUUAUGCUCAGCCCAAUUAACUUUGUGGGUACUCAAAGAAAACUUUCUUAUAUCGCGCAAACAUUAAAUUUUAAGGAAACUUUUACUUCGAUACAUGCCCUCAUUUGCACGAGUGUUUACCUUAUUGAAGGCAACCUUACUGUGUUAGGGUAUAAAGAAAAUGGACGCAUAGGAACCAGAUCUCCCAGAUAUCCCAGAUGUUCUGGUCAACUUUUAAUUAAACAUAAAUAACUAACGUUAUAUUAAAUCUAUUUAAAAAUUCAUCUUAAAAAAAAAAAAUAUAUGUUAUGCUACGAGACUAACGAAACUCACAUAUAAAAUAAAAUAAAUACGUGAAGACUCGAAAAAAUAUUAUAAUAAAGUGCCAAAGGUAUGUACAUGUGUAUGUAUACAUAGUAAAGCAAUAAAGACCUAAAGCAGAGUAACAAAAACUAAGGUUUACAUACCGUAAGAGCGUAAUAAUAAGCGGAAUGGCGAGACAAUAAGGAUAACCACAAUAUAAAAGCAAUAAAAUAGAAUAACAACACCGAUAGCGCAUUUUAGUAUUAUCAGUGUAAAGGAUCAGAAUGGCGAAGUCAAGAACACCACAGUACGCUCACGGAAAAACUACGUUUAAGCAUUUAUUAAGCGACAAUUCACAAUGUAUACAUCCAGCGUGGCCAACAUUCUGGAUACUUUUCGUCUUCCUUAAUCCAGUCUUACCAGAAGUAAUUUUUCGUGUGGAUCCUUUGGCUUUGUUGGCGGCUACAUUGAGAACUUAUCAAAGGGCUGGAUGUGAUUCAGAAACAUUAGCGCUCAGCUGUCCACGUGGCACAAGCAUUUCGAUCGAAUUGGCACAGUACGGACGAGCUGGAGAUUCAACCGACCACAGCCUCUGUCCGCCCGCGUCACAAGAAGACUUUACUACUGUGAUCACUACAAGUGAGAAUGGCGGUAAUAAAGGCAUUGGAGUCAUUCAUAGCGGAACCCAAAGCGAACAUAAAACUGCAUUAUCCUGUGUUGUAAGUGGAUUACAGUAUGCGCUUCUUCAAACAGUGGUCGAUUCCUGCCAAAAGAAACGCCAUUGUAAGUUUUCCGCAAAUUCUAAGCCUUCGGCAAUUGGCAAUCAAUGCGCUGGCAUCCGAAAAUUUGUUGAGAUAGCGUAUAAAUGUCGUCCAUAUGAAUUUCGUUCAAAAGUUGCUUGCGAAAACGAGAGUAUGCCACUGAUGUGCAAUCCCUACUCGAGAAUAGCUGUAUAUAGUGCUUCUUUCGGAUACAUUGAACGCGAAAGCGUACAAUGCCCGCAUAACAACAGUGUGCAACAUAUACCAACAAGCAAUAUAAAACCGACUUGCCUGGUUUCUUAUGCUACCGAAACAGUUAUGCAAAUUUGUCACGGUCGACGACGUUGCUCAGUAACAGCGGACGCUGGGACAUUUGGAAGACCUUGCAAAAAUGAUAUUUCAAUGAGUCUAAAAGUCGUUUUUACAUGCAUACCUCGUAAAGUGCUCAAAGAUCGUUAUGAAACAGCCCCCGAAAUGGAUGAGCCACAACAGAGUGAAUUGGAUUUGGACCAAGAUGAACUAUAUGAUGAAGACCAGUUUUAUAAGGAAGAUGAAGCUAUACCACCAGCACCGAAGUUGCAAGGUGCAAUACCCAAUGCUGUCUAUCCCUUCGAUUCUAAAAUGCGUUUUCGAGAAACCACUACCACCCUAUUGCCAUCAAUACUUUCCCGCAACGAAAGCUCUCUAGAAGGUAUCACUGAUAAUUUGCCUGAUUUCAAUAAUAAAAAUGUAGUAUUUCAUAACCUCUCAAAAAUAUAUCGUGGCAAUGGAUUAGAUGUCUACACUUCCACAAAACUAGUUCCAGCAGAACGAUUAACAGAAUCGUCAUUGUUUUCUUCUACUUUGGUAAUUACAAGUAAAACCUGGAGGGAUAUUGGCGAUAAUAGAAACUUUUCUACUCUGCCAAAUUUCAUUUAUCGCAAGAGAUGCCGAACGGAGGAUGAUUGGGCAACAGUUGUCUUGAAUUGUACGGAUGAUGACAUUAUUAAUGAACGAGUUGCUGUUAUUGGUUUCCUAAUCAAUUGGGUUAAAGCAUAUAAUCACAUAAAACAACAUCAAGAGCAGUUUUAUCUUUAUUUAAUAAUAGCUGUAGCUGCUGGUAUGCUUUUAUGCGUGACUCUUGUAAUUGGACGACUCACGUUGCAGCGAAGGCGCGCUUGUUGCAAGAAUAGUCUAUCCAGUGUAAGCAACAACGAAAAGAUAGUCAGAGAUAAGGUGCAAAGUACUAGUGAUAAAGAUGGGAAGCAUCAACAAGUACCAGCGCGUGAUACCCAACCGAACGUCUCUUUCGGGGAUAACUUAUCUGACAUCGAUGCAGACGUUGAUUUGAGAACCCAAAUGCCGCUCUCCGGCCUAUCAUCACGAAAUGAGUCAUAUAUGACGUAUGCUCCUAACCAUAGUUGCAAUUUAGGUUCUUUGCGCGACAACCACACAUCUACGCAUUAUGGAACGGCAACCACUAUGCUUAUGCCUUCAACAUCCCAGCACAAUAAUUUAAUAAUGGCGGGAGAUCAUAAUGUAAAUAAUGUCAAAGUUUUGAGUUGUCCUGCAACAGUAGGCAAUCGGCAAAAUACACCUCCAACACCAUCUUCCCUUUACACUAGCAUAGGACUGUGUUCACUGUCCCUUGGUGGACCUAUCGGUACAGGCCAACAGACUUUAACAACAUCUGUAUUGAGCUCAGCAGCCAAUGAAUCGAUUGGAGCUUCAUCAUAUUUAAUGCCAGCGCCUCAACACUCUUAUGUCGGAACGCUACGGCGACAUUUACUACCUACAAGUGUGAUGGGAGAGUCAGCGUUGUCAUUUGCAAAUAAAUCAACCACAUCCAAUCCAAUAGUGGGUAUGCCGACAUCUUCAAAUAUCUAUUAUGAUACCACAAUACCACGACAUUUCGCCCGUGGCUUAACAAGCGACGAUUCGUCCCACUUUUAUGGGUGACAUUCGCUAAAUCGCAACAUAUCGCUGCCUAUUGGCGUAACAAUGCGACAAACACCAGUGCAUAUAAAUAUGUUGCCAUUAUCGGCGACAAGAAGCUCAAGGUUGGAAACAUCAUCUGCUGAAGCAACUUGUGAAAGUCGCACAUUUACCUCAACGUGUUCUUCUCAGAGUCAAGAGGUGCUACCUAAAUCCGUUGCAUCUUCACAUGGCACUCUAUCUGUGUCUGUGGUAGCGCAAAAGCAAACGCAAUACGACUGCUUAAGUAGGGCAAACAAUCAAAACACCAUAUCGCCAUCGCGUCAAACGGCUGUGAACAAAAGUACCAGGAAUCCAAUUGCUUUGGACGCUGGGAACGCUUCGGGUGGCCAUUAUAAAGGAUCAACGUGUGCGGCAGAUAAAAGUAAUCGUUUCUAAACUUCAUUGUAGACGACGUUAACAUAGUCUUUGACAUAUUACUAGGAAAUGCCGACUCACCAUGUGUAUUAAACAUUAUUUAUGAAUUGCAUGAUGUUAUUUUAAAGAAGAGCCCUACAAGGAUUUAGUACGUAAAGGUCGGAAAAUCUUAUAAUCCCGUUUCCAUGGUCCUGAAAAAUACUUUGCAAACUUCUACAAAUCAACCCAUCAAUUCGCCAUUGUCGAAAAUCUAGCGAUGAGCGUCUAGCAUUCACCCAGGAAUAUUAUAAGCUUUAUUCCUUCUCGUCAUUUACUGUCGAUUUAAUAAUAUAUAUAUAUAUACGAAUAUAUUGCGUGACGCAAAAUCCGUUAUCUCACAUUUCAAUACGUGUUUCGAAAAAACCGAUAAGCGCAAGUUUUUGUGAAAUAUUAUUUAGAGGAUAAACAAUAUCCACAUCAUAGCGUAUACUUAUGGGUAUAUUUGUAUGAAUAAACCAAGCAACACUGCAAUGAUUCGAAGCCCAAGAUCCGCAAUAAAAUAUUGUGGCAGAAAAGUAACAAAGGUUUAAUAUGAAUUGUCGUUCUGAAUAAAUCGUCAUUUCCGAUUUGUUCACUGUAAAUGCGUAUACUUCAUAGAAGUAGAAAUCUAAUCCACGUCAACCAAUAACCUAACAUGUUUAUGUGUAGGCGGGAAUGUUUUCAGAGGGGAGCACUUACAUGAUUCUGUUUGAAUGCACUUUGUUGUGCGAAGUUCAAUUAAAAAAUUUCACCAACAAUUUCAUACUUUAUGAUUUGCAUGUACACUAAUAAUUAAUAUGAAAUUUUCUCUCUAGGCACAUUAUGAAAUCCACUUGUCUCACUAGAUCAAAAGUUUCUGUAAAUUUGUUGUAAAAUUAAACAGUCUCACAAAUUUGUAUAGAUUUGGUAGUCAUAUAUGCGGAUGUUUUUAAUUAGACUAUUUUAUUAGACCUUACGGACAUGUACACACAUUUAAAACAGAUCAAUUUUGACGUAGAUUUUAUAUUUCAAUGAAUAUACAAUUAUUAAGACCAAGCUAAAAUAAGUUUAUUUAUAAUACAUAUACACCAAAAAAAAAAAAAAAAAAAAUGCAUGUUUGUAUAAAUGGCUACCAUACGCGUUUAGAAGCGUGAACGCAUACAAGUGAAUGCUACAAUGACUCCUACAGGAAUAAAAUUGUAAUGCACUGCCUCUGAUACAGUUCCCAUAAUAUUACCAAAAUACAGUGUUUGAUAUUGUUAAGCGUUCUGAAUUUAAUUAAGAAACAAGGUCAGCAUCCAAUAAAAACAAAGUUGGCAAAAAUAGUAA
Molecule: RNA transcript, 5739 nt
Organism: Glossina fuscipes
Lineage: Eukaryota; Metazoa; Arthropoda; Insecta; Diptera; Glossinidae
Exons: 12
Source: RefSeq, a predicted model, not a curated record